CCGGCGACGGCGCACGGUGAGUAACACGUAUGCAACCUGCCCUCUUCAGGGGGACGAACCUUCCGAAAGGGAGGCGUAAUCCCGCGUAUAUCGUUUCGGGCGAUCCGAGAUCGAGGAAAGAUUCAUCGGAAGAGGAUGGGCAUGCGGCGCAUUAGCUUGACGGCGGGGUAACGGCCACCGUGGCGACGAUGCGUAGGGGUUCGUGAGAGGAAGGUCCCCCACACUGGUACUGAGACACGGACCAGACUCCUACGGGAGGCAGCAGUGAGGAAUAUUGGUUAAUGGGAGAGAUCCUGAACCAGCCAAGCCGCGUGAGGGAAGACGGCCCUAUGGGUUGUAAACCUCUUUUGUCGGAGAACAAAACCCGGGACGUGUCCCGGACUGCGUGUAUCCGAAGAAAAAGCAUCGGCUAACUCCGUG
RNAcentral lists this ribosomal RNA (420 nucleotides) under uncultured Bacteroidota bacterium. Its description in RNAcentral is "bacterial SSU rRNA". It matches the Rfam family "Bacterial small subunit ribosomal RNA", at positions 89 to 507 of the family's 1533-position model. The record is from RNAcentral. Lineage: Bacteria; Pseudomonadati; Bacteroidota.